GUAUUAAAAAGAGACAGUAUAGUAUGCAUUCCUUGGAAAAUCUGAACAAAAUGAGUGAGAACACUCUACCGUCUCAUCGAAUCUGAGGUCC
Aethalodelphis obliquidens (Pacific white-sided dolphin) is the source of this 91-nucleotide small nucleolar RNA. RefSeq annotates it as small nucleolar RNA SNORD116. NCBI's taxonomy places the organism in Eukaryota, Metazoa, Chordata, Mammalia, Artiodactyla, Delphinidae. The transcript has a single exon. The record is from RefSeq and is a predicted model, not a curated record.